Molecule: small RNA, 75 nt
Filed under: Xanthomonas albilineans
Lineage: Bacteria; Pseudomonadati; Pseudomonadota; Gammaproteobacteria; Lysobacterales; Lysobacteraceae
Description: sX9 sRNA
Rfam family: Xanthomonas sRNA sX9
Source: RNAcentral
AUGUGCCCCUUUACAGUGCGGUUCCUGCGCGCUGUCCACACACACCUGACAGCGACUCGUGACGUUUUGUUAGCC